This 3947-nucleotide long non-coding RNA is filed under the name Sus scrofa (pig). Its description in RNAcentral is "lncRNA (ENSSSCG00005018900.1)". Lineage: Eukaryota; Metazoa; Chordata; Mammalia; Artiodactyla; Suidae. The record is from RNAcentral.
AGGAAAGAAACUAGUUGGGGGAGAGAGAGUGCCCAAAUUUUUUACUAUACUUUGAAACAAAAUGGCAAGGGUGUUAGCAAGCAUUCUCUUUGCUUUGCAUUAAUAAAUGUUCCUCUGCUUUUGCUCACAAUUGAGAUGAUGAAACUUGGACAUGAUAGAUUCCAUUUGAUAAUCAGUAGAAAUGCUUUUCCUGAGUCAGUUGACUGUCAAGGGCCCUGAAACCUCAUCUGGCAUUUUUGGUUAAUGCAGUUUGACCAUCUAUCUUCCUUGGCUUCCUUUGACCAAUGCCAAGUUGUUAUGAGUUCUUUUCUGUUUCAAUCCAUUGAGGGAUCUACUUAACCCAACACAUGAACAUUUUUUUGACCAGUGAGAAGCAGUGUCUAGGUCAGACAUUGAUUUCCUCCCAAGUGACAACUCGCGAAUCAGUAGUCAUCAUCUCAGUACCUCAGACCUGGGGAAGGACGAGGAUUUUCAGCAGAAGAGUUGCCAAGCCAACUGGUUGUAUGUGCUGUAGCCAGGAAUGGCGGUGAGGCCUGAGAAAGUGAAGUAUUUCCACCAUUUCUGAACUAUACAGUAACCUAAGAUUGCUUCCUGGGUAGGACUCUGUGCAUGUGUGUACAUACAUGUGCGUGUGUGCGCAUGGGUGUGCAUGUGUGUGUUCAAUAGAUGAUGAAUCAAUCAUCUAUUGAUUCCUUUAACAAAUUUUAUUGACCAUCACUUUCUACCUCUCUACCAGGAAGUAUUCCAGAGAUUGAGAGUGGAAAGAAAUCCAAGAUAAAUCAGAUAAAGACAUUCUCAUAAACAAAGCCUGUGCCUUUCUGUGACAAGUAUAGUAGGAAUGCACAAAAUACCUGAAUUGUGAGCGUUUGGGGCCUCUGCUUAUUUAAACAUUAACAUGGGAAAGAUGAUGAAAAGGAGAUGAAUGAGUAGAUUAAAUUUCUAGCAGUGGUUAUCAGCAUCCCCAAAUCUAUGGUAUUGAGUAUUUUUGCCUAAAACUGUUUUCUUAAAGUUUAUGGAGUCAUAAUGCCUUACUAUUGGCCUAAAUGUAGGGAGAAAAAAAGACUUGAAACCAGAACAUGCAAUAUGAUUUUCAUAUGCCCCAAAGCCAGAGUUGAAACAGAUUCCAACUUAAUAUCACCAAGCAAUAUUCAGGCUAUCCCAGACAAUUCUAACAUAGAAUCUCAUUCUUGACAUCAUCUCUUAAUGAAACUCUGUGAACACUCAUGAGAGAUUUCAUCUAGAAUAUUUAUCUGAGAGUGUGGUUUGGCUAACACAGCUUUAGCAUGCUGCUCCUUACGUAUGGGAGCAGCACACGCUCAUAUGCUCAUUUUUUGCAUGUGAGGAAAAUGAAACAUGGGAAUGUUAAACUAAUUUGGCCAUGGUUCACAUUUAGUUACUUCUACUUUCUUUUUUAUUUAUUUUAUUUUUUAAAUUAAAGUUUGCUAAUUUACAGUGUUCCUUCCUGUUGCACAGCAAAGUGACCCAAUUACACACAGUUCCCUGUGCUGUACAGUAGGAUGCCAGUGCCCAUUGAUUCCAAAUGUAAUAGUUUGCAUCCACCAACCCCAAACUCCUCAUCCAUCCUACUCCUACCCCCUCCCCUUGCCAACCACAAGUCUGCUCUCCUUGGCUGUGAUCUGUUUCUAUUUUAUAGAUAGGAUCAUUUGUCCUAUAUUUUAGAUUAUUUGUGGGACAAAUGAUCCUAACUAGCUUCCAGGUUUUUUUACUCAGUAAGCUUCAUUCCGUCUAAGUCAGAAGAGCAGUGUGUUUCUGCUGUCGAUGUAGGCUGGAAGCAGAGUUGAGCAGAACCAGCUCUAAUCAGCCCAGGUGGCACUGCAUUUAGUGGAGAGUGUCCAUUGCCCUCCAGCUUGUCUAGACCAAUGGAAGGAUUGGUCUCCCUAAUUUUUUAGUAUUCAGGUCUCUUGUAUGCUGGCAUGUAAAUAUAUCACUUUCCAGGCAUGUAUUAAUACAAUGAAAUGUAAUUAAUGCUAACAUUGCAUUGAUCAGGACAUCAUUUUCCUUGAAGAAUCAGCCCAAGCUUCAUGGUCUUGCACCCCAAAAUCUUAUCACAGUGGUGAACAACACACAGUUGAUUUAUGCAAAAGUGUCACUUCUUCCCUGUGGAUUGACUGCUGGAUGGCAGUGAAGACACUGAGACAGUUUUAUUUCAGUCAUCAGCAUCACAACAAUUUCACAGGGCCAGUCUGGGUUUUUCAAAACAAGUGACCCAGGAGAGAAAUUUACCUUUACAUCGACUUUCACCAACAACUGUUUGUGAGACUUCAAGAAUAAAAUGCAUCAUGGAAAUAAAACGCAUCAUCUACCUAGAGGAGUUGGUCCAGAGUUAAAAGAUGCAGUAGGAUUUCCCUUCUGGUGGAUCGUAUUUCCCUUUGACGCGGUUCUAAAUUCUUUGGGGCCAACAGGGAGACCACCGAUAAUUGCCUGUAAUUCAACACACACACGACCAGCUCUCCAGAAAGCCAAGCAUCAGCUUCUCUAUUACAGUUAGGGGCCUCACAUUUGGGUUUGGUCUUUUCUUUUUCCCCUUGGAUCCAUGGCUCUUUUCAUGCAAGGUCCUGUUUGACAUCCUAAUAUAAGUGUAAUUUCAUCUUUCUCCAGAAACCUUCAUUUUCACGGCCUCUAAUGACCAUUCCAUAAUCAGUGUGGUUAGAGGAACUGAAUUCACCUCUAGGCACCUGUCAUGUUUGUAAUGAAGGAAGAGAAAGUGUAAGUGUUGGAAUAAAUGCUUUUUGAAGCACACCCUAGGCUCACUACUUUUGAAGUUUGAUCUCGAUAGUAAAUAUUCUUGGAGUGCACAUUCAACACAUAUUCUGACAUAGCAAAAUUAGAAAAUCUGCUUAGAAAGAGGUGCACAACCUAAUUUUUCCCCUUUUUAUCUUAAAUGCCUCUUCAGUCUGGCCCUUCCUCAUCUGUUCUCAAGGAAUUCUGCCAGGGCAUAGCUGAGAUAAAUCUGGCUGGAGAUCCCUCCAAAGAUUAUGCUAAACUCACCUUUGUCAUUGAUUCAGCUCAUCCUCAUGCACUGAGCAUCUUUCAAAGGACUGUUGGAAAUUGGGGCUCAUUGUCAUGGGAAGGGAAAGUCAGAAGAUGAAUAACUUAAAUAUUAAAGAAGUCUACCUCUAGUUGGGAAAGGAAAAAUCCACAUAUAUGAUGCUUUCAUGGGACCACUGUGAAUGCGCUAUUAUGGCGCCAUGAGGAAUUAGGAGGUAGAUCAGUUCUAUGGCUGGGAAAACUUUUGGCAAAUGUGGAUUUUUAACUUCACCCUUGAGUUCCAUAGAACUCCCCAAAGCAGAGGAGGCAGUGAAGAUGACUUUGACAACAAGAAGCAGCACAACUUAAAGACUUAGAAGUGAAAGGUACCGGGCAAGUUCAUGUAAAAGAACGUGAUCUAGUGGUGGUGGGGGCAGGGUAAGAGGGAGGAGCAGGGAGAAUAACAGGGAACCAAGCUGGAGCCAUAAAAUGGGGUUGGGCUCUCAGGGCUUUGAAUGUUGGAACGAAGAGCUUGGACACAAUGAAAGGCCAAGAACCUUUUUUAAGUUGAGGUCUGAAAUAGUUCUGGAUUGUAGCAAGACCUUGCCGACGUUGCUUGGAGAAUGUUCAGGAAGGGUUAGAGGAUCCGUUUGAAUGAUGUUGAAACAACAUCAUUAUAUUAUUAUAUUUGUAUCUAUAUUAAUAUGCAUUGUUAAAGAAGAAAAAUGCCUGAGCAGGGAGGUCCCUUCGUGACUCAGCGGUUAACAAACCUGACUAGGAUCCAUGAGGAUGCGAGUUCAAUCCCUGACCUCACUCUGUGGGUUAAGGAUCCGAUGUUGCCAUGAGCUGUGGUAUAGGUCGCAAACGCAGCAGCUUGAUCCUGAGUUGCUGUGGCUGUGAUGUAGGCUGGCAGCUGUAGCUCUGAUUUGACCCUGAGCCUGGGAACCUCCAUAUGCUGU